AAGUCGUAACAAGGUUUCCGUAGGUGAACCUGCGGAAGGAUCAUUAACACGCAUUGAAAGCAUCCAAUAUCAACAAAUCACAACCAAACGGUCAACUAUCUCCUCCCUAUUUCGCACACCGGAGACGGUACGAGUAGGCUAACAUGUAAAUAACAAGCUCAAGCAAUUGUGCAUGUUAUUUUCAAAACACAAGAUAACCCCUUUUAAUUAUAUUAUUCAUUUAAUAUAAACGAACAACUCUUCGAAUUUGCCUUGAUUGUUCAAUCAAUCAGGAACAAGUCCGAACUAAACUAAAAUAUACAUUCGAUAUAUUUUUAUUUUACGAAAUAAUAUAUAUUUAUAAGAACAACUCUUAGCAAUGGAUAUCUUGGUUCUC
RNAcentral lists this unclassified non-coding RNA (376 nucleotides) under fungal sp. RNAcentral describes it as "partial internal transcribed spacer region". The stretch from base 1 to 46 matches the Rfam family "Eukaryotic small subunit ribosomal RNA", at positions 1786 to 1831 of the family's 1831-position model. Lineage: Eukaryota; Fungi. The record is from RNAcentral.